UAUAAAUUUAAUUCUAAUUUUAAAAUUAGCUUAUCUGUUAUCAAUUAUGAUAACCUAAUAAAUGCUAGAGGUUUGUAUAAGGAAUUUUCUUAAUAUUAUCAAGUAUAAGUGAUGUAGAUAUAAACCUUGCUAAUAUUGUGCCAGCAGCAGCGGUUAUACAAUUAGUUACUAAUCUAUAUAAUUAAGUAAGCUAUAUUAAAUGCAAAGGUGAAAUUCUUAAAAGUAAUUUCUAUUAUGGCGUUAAUAAAUAAUAACAAAAACAAGGAUUAGAUACCCUUUUAUUAUUAAUAAAUAAUUUUAAUUUGAAAGGUAAAACAAAAGAAUUUGGCGGUGUUUCAUUCAAUUAGGGGAUCCUGUAAUUUAAAUUGAUAGUCCACAGUUUAUAUAUCUAAUAUUUGAAAUUAUCAAUAAAUGUAUUGCCGUAUUAUAGCUCUCAACAGAGGAAUUAUUUAAUAUAUAAUAGUUAUAUAAAUCACAGGUAAAAUAUUGUUUAUGUAUUAGAAUUAAUUGGAUACCUUAAUUUAAAGAUAUUAUUAAUGCUAGAAUAAAUGCAUUAAAAAAUAGGACUUAAUAGUAAUUAACUUAAAUAAAGUUAAUGAAAUAGAACUUGAAAUAAGCACAUAUUGCCCGUCGGUUUCUUUCAAAAUAGGAUAAGUCGUAACACAGUAGGCGUAAUGGAAAUUGCAUCUCAAACUAU
RNAcentral lists this ribosomal RNA (697 nucleotides) under Haemadipsa tianmushana. Its description in RNAcentral is "12S ribosomal RNA". The record is from RNAcentral. Lineage: Eukaryota; Metazoa; Annelida; Clitellata; Hirudinida; Haemadipsidae.